AGAGUUUGAUCCUGGCUCAGGAUGAACGCUAGCUACAGGCUUAACACAUGCAAGUCGAGGGGAAACGAUAUUGGAAGCUUGCUUCCGAUAGGCGUCGACCGGCGCACGGGUGGGUAACGCGUAUCCAACCUGCCCACCACUUGGGGAUAACCUUGCGAAAGUAAGACUAAUACCCAAUGAUAUCUCUAGAAGACAUCUGAAAGAGAUUAAAGAUUUAUCGGUGAUGGAUGGGGAUGCGUCUGAUUAGCUUGUUGGCGGGGUAACGGCCCACCAAGGCGACGAUCAGUAGGGGUUCUGAGAGGAAGGUCCCCCCANAUUGGAACUGAGACACGGUCCAAACUCCUACGGGAGCA
RNAcentral lists this ribosomal RNA (353 nucleotides) under uncultured bacterium. Its description in RNAcentral is "bacterial SSU rRNA". It matches the Rfam family "Bacterial small subunit ribosomal RNA", at positions 8 to 349 of the family's 1533-position model. The record is from RNAcentral.